UACGUAGGGUGCGAGCGUUAAUCGGAAUUACUGGGCGUAAAGCGUGCGCAGGCGGUUGUGUAAGACAGGUGUGAAAUCCCCGGGCUUAACCUGGGAACUGCAUUUGUGACUGCACGGCUGGAGUGCGGCAGAGGGGGAUGGAAUUCCGCGUGUAGCAGUGAAAUGCGUAGAUAUGCGGAGGAACACCGAUGGCGAAGGCAAUCCCCUGGGCCUGCACUGACGCUCAUGCACGAAAGCGUGGGGAGCAAACAGG
Molecule: ribosomal RNA, 253 nt
Filed under: uncultured bacterium
Lineage: Bacteria
Description: partial 16S ribosomal RNA
Rfam family: Bacterial small subunit ribosomal RNA
Source: RNAcentral